GCUCUGCCCCUGCACCAGGCACUGCCCCCCCGCCGGGCACUGUUCCCUCAUGUCACCGUUUGACUCAGUUUGACAACAGUGCUCUCGAUCCCCUCCCCCUCCCACCCAGGUAGGGAAGGAGAGAGAGAAAAAAAGAGAGAGACUUGGCUGGAUUGAAAACGGAACCGCACAGCUUUAAUUAGAAUACUAAUGGUGUUAUGAGAAUAUAUAUAUAUGAUUAUACAGAGGUGUGGGUGAAAGCCUCUCGCCUCCCCCCACCCCCAGCAACUCCCACAGCAAUCCCCUCAGACGAGACAAUUCCGAGGAAUCCCGGAGCUGCUGCUGGAGAAAGGCAGAGAGUUACGAGGAUGAGGAGGGCUUGAGGUCGAUGGGUUGACGAUGAUGGACAGAUGGUGUCCUCCCCGGAUGCUGGCCGUGAACGGAAGAGAGAGAGAGAAGAAGGAAAGGAGAGAGAGAGAGAAAAAGGAAGGGAGAGAGAGAGAAGAAGGAAGCGAGAGAGGCAGGAAUAAAGGAAGUUGUCUUCUGUCAUCUCCGACCUUCCCCCGAGCCUACGUAGAUAUAUGGCAUGGAGUACCUCUGGCCCAAUUUGCUGUCCAUCUAACCCAGCCUCCCACGGGGGGGCCACAGAUCCCCCCGCAGUGUCUGAGCCGGCAGAGCAAAGGCACGACCUUGAGGGCCCAGCAAUUAUAAAAACAUUCCAGUGUCUUAUCAACCUCGCAGAACACGCAGUUGCUACUUGAAGAAAGCUCACUGAAAAGAAAAAAAAAAAUCAGCAAAAGAAAAACUGGCUUUAUCCUGGUUCAAACAGGACACCUCAUCAAGCUUUGCCCCUUCUGCUGAGCGUUUACCUCCCGCUGAGCGCUGCGACUGCAGGAAGCGGAGGGGGGAGCGGCACAGGUCGCUGGGAGGGGGCUUCAAAGUGGAGCAGCCCAGGGUUUGUGAGUGGGGGGGCAUCGUCAGCUGGUAUUUCCUCCUAUCAUAGGAUGGUUUGGGUGGGAAGGGACUUUAACGAUCAUCUAGUUCCAACCCCCCUGUGCAUUCACCUGGAUUUGUUUUAGAUUUAUUUUCCGUUGGAGCAUGGUCACGUUGCUCCGUCCCCAUUUUAUGUAGGAAAGAAAAUUCUUAUUAGUUAAGUACAAUUAAUUAAUCCCAGUUUAAAUGUGUGAUGUUAUUAUCAAGAAGUCUUAGGUAUUGAAAAUUUAAUAAGCAGUAAUAAUUAAUGUAAAUACUUCUUUAAAUUGUCAAUAUUUCACAUUUCCCUUGCUCCCCCUCCUUUAUCUCUGUUCUCCCACUUCCUUUUUUUAUUUUUUUUUUCUUUUAAUUUUUUUUUCCCCUCUUCCUGUGCUGUUGCUGCUGCUGCUUUUUUCAGGAAAUUAUUCCAAAUUGUUCCCAGCAUUGUGGUCCAGCAAGUUCAGGCUAUGGUUUCACAAAUUGCCUGUGGGUGUUACAUGUUUAGUUGCUCUUACCUUCACAGAUACAAAAUCUGAUGGUAAAUGGGAUUCAGUCUUGCAUUAUGUAACCUUUUUUAAUAAGUUACCUCUGUAAAAGCUAAAUUAUUAGGCUACUGUUACACAGAUUUCUGAUUUGUACAACAGAAAUAAGUUAAUCCAUAAUUUUGAGAUAGAAAUUGUCCAACAAACUGGAGCCUAUUGUCUAUGAUUUGGAAAUACAGCUUCAGAUGUCCUGUGUUGGUUUGCUCUCAUAGAAUUGGUUUAUUGAACCAAAACCUUGUAAGCCAUUUGAAAAACAUUGCACUCUAAAGUGAUUUCGAUGAUGAAAAGGAAUAUUUCACAUUUUGUCCCCCAGAAGAACUUUUUUUUCAGAUUGGUAGCACUUGAAGAUAUGACCUUUUUCUAAGCUGUACUUUGCAGGAAGAUGUGCUAGCUUCAAAUUUAUCUAAAAUAAUAACUACUUUAGACUUGCGCUUGAUUAAACCAGACAAAAAUAAAGACGGCUCCCACAGUCUGCUAUUUCUAACAGAGCAGUAAAAUGGCUUGCGGGGAGAGGUCUAAUGUUUAAGUUGUUGUUCUGUUUUUUUUUUUAGUAGGGAACAGCCAAAACUGCUUCAGAUUCUCCUUGGGAAUCUGUAAUUUUGAGACUUAACCACAGGUUGACUGAGAUGUAAUUGGCAGUACUCCAUGUGCCUAGUUUUGAAAUUUUCUCUUUACAACAGAAAUUAUCAAAUCUAUUAUUUUGACAUUUAAGUUAUCAAACAAAAAACAUUGUUUAUUUGCUUCCAUAGAAUUGAUUUAUUGAACCAAAAUCUCAUAAGCCAUUUGAAAAUUAUCACGCUAUAUAGUGAUUUCUAUUGUUCUGGAUCAUCUUAUCAAUAUGAAAUUAAAAAGUCAAGUCUAUGAUUUUGGAGAGGCAGUCUGUUACAGAAGCCAGUGUUUUCUACCUUAUAAUCUGAAUGAGGGGGAAAAAAUGCAGAUGUCUUCCUCUCCUUGACUUCCGAGGAAACUAUGAGUUGGCUUCACAGCCCUGGAAUAUCAUCAUGCUUGAUGUUAUAGAUAACCGAGAUAAGUUGUGGGGGGUGCUCCCUCCCGUCCCCUUUGUCUGUCUUGGAGGCCUGCUUCUAGGGACAGGCUGUGGACUGCCUGGGACAUAUUUUUGUCUUAAUUCUUGCCAUUGCACUGCUAUGUAAGCUCUGGUUUUAUGCUGCAUGUCUCCUUGUUCCCUUUAUGUCCUUUUCCCCCCACAAUUUUUCUUAUUUCAAUGAAUAACCAAAAUCAAUAUGUUUCAAAUGGGUAUUUUUGGUAAACAAUAGAUUUUCAGGAAAUUUGGGGCAAAACAUGUCCCCCUGUUUAAGUGUUCUGCUACAUAUGUCCAGUGGCAGGGCUGCUGUUGCCUCCUCUCGAUCCUGCCACAGGAGGUUCAGCUGCCACCGCUUCAGCAUCAUCGGCCUUUUCUCUGCCACCCAAGUACCUGCUGUGGUCUGCAAGUACCAGGUGCUGAACAGGAACCUGGUGGUUGCCAGAUUAAUGUAGAUGCCCAUCUGCAGAGUUUUCUUUAAACAAGGAUGGAUUGAGAUCUCUGGCCCCCUGAAAGCUAAUCCUGCUUUUGUGGAUGAGUAUGAGAAGAUUGAGGAGCAGCUGCAGAAACACUACAGCACUUAGCUGGAAAAAUUCCAGAAUCUGACCUACAUGGAGCAGCUCCUGGAUGAUCAGCGACAGACAGAGCAAGAGAUGUUUGAGCUCCCGCAGCGUCUCCUGAGCUGUGAGCAGCCCCAAAAGUCCUGGAGGUGCCGGAGAGAGGGCAGAGCAGCCAGGAGCUGAGGGGAGAGUGAUGAGAGGCUGGGAUGCACGGGCCUGGGGAUCAACGGGCAUGGAUGGAUGGACGGACAGAGUCAUCCCUGGAUGCCAGCCACAGAUGGGAGAGAAGGGGAGAAGAAGCAGGAAGGGGCUUGACUUCCACGACCCCCUCACGCAGAUCUAUGGAAUGGAAUACUUUGGUCAAUCUGCUGCCUGUCUAGCCCACCCCUCCCUGUGGGGGUUAGAUACGACUCCUCUGCUCUCAGCAGCAUCCCUGAGGCAGCAGAGCGAGGAGACCUUGAUGUCUCAGCAGCAACAUCAACGUUCCAGAGUUAUCAGCCCACCAGCUGGAACACUUGCUGCCAGUUCAAGGAGAGCUCCCUGAAGGAAAAAGCCCCAGUAAAAGGAAAAUGGGCUCCA
Apus apus (common swift) is the source of this 3671-nucleotide long non-coding RNA. RefSeq lists it as uncharacterized. NCBI's taxonomy places the organism in Eukaryota, Metazoa, Chordata, Aves, Apodiformes, Apodidae. The record is from RefSeq and is a predicted model, not a curated record. The transcript is spliced from 4 exons.